This 750-nucleotide ribosomal RNA is filed under the name Herbaspirillum sp. PTJR-7. RNAcentral's name for it is "bacterial SSU rRNA". It matches the Rfam family "Bacterial small subunit ribosomal RNA", at positions 68 to 811 of the family's 1533-position model. The record is from RNAcentral. Lineage: Bacteria; Pseudomonadati; Pseudomonadota; Betaproteobacteria; Burkholderiales; Oxalobacteraceae.
GGCAGCACGGGAGCUUGCUCCUGGUGGCGAGUGGCGAACGGGUGAGUAAUAUAUCGGAACGUGCCCUAGAGUGGGGGAUAACUAGUCGAAAGAUUAGCUAAUACCGCAUACGAUCUACGGAUGAAAGUGGGGGAUCGCAAGACCUCAUGCUCAUGGAGCGGCCGAUAUCUGAUUAGCUAGUUGGUGGGGUAAAAGCUCACCAAGGCGACGAUCAGUAGCUGGUCUGAGAGGACGACCAGCCACACUGGAACUGAGACACGGUCCAGACUCCUACGGGAGGCAGCAGUGGGGAAUUUUGGACAAUGGGCGCAAGCCUGAUCCAGCAAUGCCGCGUGAGUGAAGAAGGCCUUCGGGUUGUAAAGCUCUUUUGUCAGGGAAGAAACGGUCUUGGUUAAUACCUGGGGCUAAUGACGGUACCUGAAGAAUAAGCACCGGCUAACUACGUGCCAGCAGCCGCGGUAAUACGUAGGGUGCAAGCGUUAAUCGGAAUUACUGGGCGUAAAGCGUGCGCAGGCGGUUAUACAAGACAGAUGUGAAAUCCCCGGGCUCAACCUGGGAAUUGCAUUUGUGACUGUAUGGCUAGAGUGUGUCAGAGGGGGGUAGAAUUCCACGUGUAGCAGUGAAAUGCGUAGAUAUGUGGAGGAAUACCGAUGGCGAAGGCAGCCCCCUGGGAUAACACUGACGCUCAUGCACGAAAGCGUGGGGAGCAAACAGGAUUAGAUACCCUGGUAGUCCACGCCCUAAACGAUG